AACGAACGCUGGCGGCGCGUCUUAAACAUGCAAGUCGAACGGCAGGAAGGGGCUUGCCCCUUCUGAGAGUGGCGGACUGGUGAGUAACACGUGGGUGACAUACCUUUUAGUUGGGGAUAGCUAUUAGAAAUAGUAGGUAAUACCGAAUGUGACCGUACCUGUUAGAGGGUUACGAGGAAAGGAGCUAAGGCUUCGCUAAAAGAAUGGCUCGCGGCCCAUUAUGCUCGUUGGUGAGGUAACGGCCCACCAAGGCGAUGAUGGGUAUCCGGCCUGAGAGGGUGAACGGACACAUUGGGACUGAGAUACGGCCCAGACUUCUACGGGAGGCAGCAGUUAAGAAUAUUCCGCAAUGGACGAAAGUCUGACGGAGCGACGCCGCGUGGAUGAAGAAUGCCGAAAGGUUGUAAAAUCCUUUUAAGCCUGAUGAAUAAGCACAGUAGGGAAUGAUUGUGCGGUGACCGUAGGGCUUGAAUAAGCACCGGCUAAUUACGUG
Molecule: ribosomal RNA, 493 nt
Filed under: uncultured bacterium
Lineage: Bacteria
Description: partial 16S ribosomal RNA
Rfam family: Bacterial small subunit ribosomal RNA
Source: RNAcentral